UAGUCACACCCAAAUCCUACCUGUCUGGCAGCUAUCAAACAAAUACAUUUCACAACAAUAGUCCCGUGUGCAGCAUCAGCUCAUCCACAUUCUUAAUGUCAUACUCUACCUUAUAAAUACAGACACAUCAGACAGGAAUUGUUGCAGACAUUACUACAUCAGGAAUAGACUUUUUACUGCACUUGUCAACGAGACAGAAUGAGUGAUUGAGGGACGUGGAGAGGGACCUCCAGGUGAACGUGGGGACGGACCUCCAGGUGAACGUGGUGGACCUCGUGGACCUCCGGGUGAACGUGGUGGACCUCAAGGACGUGGGGACGGACCUCCAGGUGAACGUGGUGGACCUCGUGGACCUCCAGGUGAACGUGGUGGACCUCGUGGACCUCCGGGUGAACGUGGUGGACCAGAUGAUGGUGGCAGACGCGGAGGCAAACCCGAGUAGAAAUGGAAAUGCAGUGAUAACAACUAAAUGAUGAACACUGUGCGAUAUUGAUUCUAAUUAAUUAAAUGCAUCUCCAAUAAACUAAUCCAGAAACUGAUAA
This is an RNA transcript of Amphiprion ocellaris (clown anemonefish), 542 nucleotides long. It is a transcript of the gene named cuticle collagen 36-like, with no coding region annotated. The transcript has 3 exons. Lineage: Eukaryota; Metazoa; Chordata; Actinopteri; Pomacentridae. The record is from RefSeq and is a predicted model, not a curated record.